GUGGACGCCAGUCUGCAUGGAGCCGACCUUGAAAUACCACCCUUUAAUGUUUGAUGUUCUAACGUUGACCCGUGAUCCGGGUUGCGGACAGUGUCUGGUGGGUAGUUUGACUGGGGCGGUCUCCUCCUAAAGAGUAACGGAGGAGCACGAAGGUUGGCUAAUCCUGGUCGGACAUCAGGAGGUUAGUGCAAUGGCAUAAGCCAGCUUGACUGCGAGCGUGACGGCGCGAGCAGGUGCGAAAGCAGGUCAUAGUGAUCCGGUGGUUCUGAAUGGAAGGGCCAUCGCUCAACGGAUAAAAGGUACUCCGGGGAUAACAGGCUGAUACCGCCCAAGAGUUCAUAUCGACGGCGGUGUUUGGCACCUCGAUGUCGGCUCAUCACAUCCUGGGGCUGAAGUAGGUCCCAAGGGUAUGGCUGUUCGCCAUUUAAAGUGGUACGCGAGCUGGGUUUAGAACGUCGUGAGACAGUUCGGUCCCUAUCUGCCGUGGGCGCUGGAGAACUGAGGGGGGCUGCUCCUAGUACGAGAGGACCGGAGUGGACGCAUCACUGGUGUUCGGGUUGUCAUGCCAAUGGCACUGCCCGGUAGCUAAAUGCGGAAGAGAUAAGUGCUGAAAGCAUCUAAGCACGAAACUUGCCCCGAGAUGAGUUCUCCCUGACUCCUUGAGAGUCCUGAAGGAACGUUGAAG
This 685-nucleotide ribosomal RNA is filed under the name Escherichia coli. Its description in RNAcentral is "partial 23S ribosomal RNA". It matches the Rfam family "Bacterial large subunit ribosomal RNA", at positions 2164 to 2843 of the family's 2925-position model. The record is from RNAcentral. Lineage: Bacteria; Pseudomonadati; Pseudomonadota; Gammaproteobacteria; Enterobacterales; Enterobacteriaceae.